This 314-nucleotide unclassified non-coding RNA is filed under the name plant metagenome. RNAcentral describes it as "partial contains 5.8S ribosomal RNA, internal transcribed spacer 2, and large subunit ribosomal RNA". The stretch from base 1 to 105 matches the Rfam family "5.8S ribosomal RNA", at positions 50 to 154 of the family's 154-position model. The record is from RNAcentral.
GAAAUGCGAUAAUUAAUGUGAAUUGCAGAAUUCAGUGAAUCAUCGAGUCUUUGAACGCACAUUGCGCCCCCUGGUAUUCCGGGGGGCAUGCCUGUCCGAGCGUCAUUGCUGCCCUCAAGCACGGCUUGUGUGUUGGGCUUCCGUCCCUGGCAACGGGGACGGGCCCAAAAGGCAGUGGCGGCACCAUGUCUGGUCCACGAGCGUAUGGGGCUUUGUCACCCGCUCCCGUAGGUCCAGCUGGCAGCUAGCCUCGCAACCAAUCUUUUUAACCAGGUUGACCUCGGAUCAGGUAGGGAUACCCGCUGAACUUAAGC